RNAcentral lists this ribosomal RNA (398 nucleotides) under uncultured bacterium. RNAcentral describes it as "partial 16S ribosomal RNA". It matches the Rfam family "Bacterial small subunit ribosomal RNA", at positions 360 to 775 of the family's 1533-position model. The record is from RNAcentral.
AAUUUUGCGCAAUGGGCGAAAGCCUGACGCAGCCAUGCCGCGUGAAUGAUGAAGGUCUUCGGACUGUACAAUUCUUUCACCGGGGACAAUAAUGACGGUACCCGGAGAAGAAGCACCGGCUAACUCCGUGCCAGCAGCCGCGGUAAUACGAAGGGGGCUAGCGUUGCUCGGAAUUACUGGGCGUAAAGGGCGCGUAGGCGGAUCGUUAAGCUAGAGGUGAAAUCCCAGGGCUCAACCCUGGAACUGCCUUUGAUACUGGCGAUCUUGAGUAUGAGAGAGGUAUGUGGAACUCCGAGUGUAGAGGUGAAAUUCGUAGAUAUUCGGAAGAACACCAGUGGCGAAGGCGACAUACUGGCUCAUUACUGACGCUGAGGCGCGAAAGCGUGGGGAGCAAACAG